CCUACGGGUGGCAGCAGUGAGGAAUAUUGGUCAAUGGACGAGAGUCUGAACCAGCCAAGUAGCGUGAAGGAUGACUGCCAUAUGGGUUGUAAACUUCUUUUAUAUGGGAAUAAAACGUUCCACGUGUGGGAUUUUGUAUGUACCAUAUGAAUAAGGAUCGGCUAACUCCGUGCCAGCAGCCGCGGUAAUACGGAGGAUCCGAGCGUUAUCCGGAUUUAUUGGGUUUAAAGGGAGCGUAGGUGGAUUGUUAAGUCAGUUGUGAAAGUUUGCGGCUCAACCGUAAAAUUGCAGUUGAAACUGGCAGUCUUGAGUACAGUAGAGGUGGGCGGAAUUCGUGGUGUAGCGGUGAAAUGCUUAGAUAUCACGAAGAACUCCGAUUGCGAAGGCAGUUCACUGGACUGCAACUGACACUGAGGCUCGAAAGUGUGGGUAUCAAACAGGAUUAGAUACCCCUGUAGUC
This 460-nucleotide ribosomal RNA is filed under the name uncultured bacterium. RNAcentral describes it as "partial 16S ribosomal RNA". It matches the Rfam family "Bacterial small subunit ribosomal RNA", at positions 338 to 795 of the family's 1533-position model. The record is from RNAcentral.